GGAAGUAAAAGUCGUAACAAGGUCUCCCUUGGAGCGCCAGCGGAGGGAUCAUUACAGAGUUAUCAACUCCCCACCCAUGUGAACUUAUCUCUUGUUGCCUCGGCGCAAGCGACCCGGGCCCAGCCCGGGGCGCCCGCCGGCGGACACACUCAACUCUAUCUUCGUUGAUAUCUGAGUGUCUUAUUUAAUAAGUCAAAACUUUCAACAACGGAUCUCUUGGUUCUGGCAUCGAUGAAGAACGCAGCGAAAUGCGAUAAGUAAUGUGAAUUGCAGAAUUCAGUGAAUCAUCGAAUCUUUGAACGCACAUUGCGCCCUAGUAUUCUAGUGGGCAUGCCUGUUCGAGCGUCAUUUCAACCUCUAAGCACAGCUUACUGUUGGGAAUCUACGUCUGUAGUUCCUCAAAGACAUUGGCGGAGCGGUAGUCCUCUGAGCGUAGUAAUUUUUUAUCUCGCUUCUGUAGGCGCUGUCGUCCCGGCCGUUAAACCCCUUUUUCUGGUUGACCUCGGAUCAGGUAGGGAUACCCGCUGAACUUAAGCAUAUCAAUAAGCGGAGGA
This 554-nucleotide ribosomal RNA is filed under the name Schizostachyum funghomii. RNAcentral's name for it is "eukaryotic LSU rRNA". The stretch from base 197 to 348 matches the Rfam family "5.8S ribosomal RNA". Lineage: Eukaryota; Viridiplantae; Streptophyta; Magnoliopsida; Poales; Poaceae. The record is from RNAcentral.